UACGUAGGGUGCAAGCGUUGUCCGGAAUUAUUGGGCGUAAAGAGCUCGUAGGCGGUUUGUCGCGUCUGCUGUGAAAACUCGGGGCUUAACCCCGGGCCUGCAGUGGGUACGGGCAGACUAGAGUGUUGCAGGGGAGACUGGAAUUCCUGGUGUAGCGGUGAAAUGCGCAGAUAUCAGGAGGAACACCGGUGGCGAAGGCGGGUCUCUGGGCAACAACUGACGCUGAGGAGCGAAAGCGUGGGGAGCGAACAGG
This 253-nucleotide ribosomal RNA is filed under the name uncultured bacterium. RNAcentral describes it as "partial 16S ribosomal RNA". It matches the Rfam family "Bacterial small subunit ribosomal RNA", at positions 524 to 776 of the family's 1533-position model. The record is from RNAcentral.